This 410-nucleotide ribosomal RNA is filed under the name Verrucomicrobiota bacterium. RNAcentral's name for it is "Verrucomicrobia bacterium partial 16S ribosomal RNA". It matches the Rfam family "Bacterial small subunit ribosomal RNA", at positions 355 to 776 of the family's 1533-position model. The record is from RNAcentral. Lineage: Bacteria; Pseudomonadati; Verrucomicrobiota.
UGGGGAAUCUUGCACAAUGGGCGAAAGCCUGAUGCAGCGACGCCGCGUGCGGGAUGAAGGCCUUCGGGUUGUAAACCGCUUUCAGCAGGGACGAGGCCGCAAGGUGACGGUACCUGCAGAAGAAGCCCCGGCUAACUACGUGCCAGCAGCCGCGGUAAUACGUAGGGGGCAAGCGUUAUCCGGAUUCAUUGGGCGUAAAGCGCGCGUAGGCGGUUUGUUAGGUCAGGAGUUAAAUCUGGGGGCUCAACCCCUAUCCGCUCCUGAUACCGGCAGGCUUGAGUCUGGGAGGGGAAGGCGGAAUUCCCAGUGGAGCGGGGAAAUGCGCAGAUAUUUGGAAGAACACCGGUGGCGAAGGGGGCCUUCUGGGCCACGACUGACGCUGAGGCGCGAAAGCUGGGGGAGCGAACAGG